Non-coding RNA from Ictidomys tridecemlineatus (thirteen-lined ground squirrel), 69 nucleotides. NCBI's taxonomy places the organism in Eukaryota, Metazoa, Chordata, Mammalia, Rodentia, Sciuridae. The record is from Rfam.
GGGGUUGUGGCUCAGUGGUAGAGCGCUUGCCUGGCAUGUGUAAGGCACUGGGUUCUAUUCUCAACACCA